GGCAAUGUGGCCUAAUGGCAAGAGCAACAGAUUGGGACUCAGGCAACCUGGAUUCCAUUUCCAGCUCUGCCA
Molecule: transfer RNA, 72 nt
Filed under: Chelonia mydas (Green sea turtle)
Lineage: Eukaryota; Metazoa; Chordata; Testudines; Cheloniidae
Rfam family: tRNA
About the family: Transfer RNA (tRNA) molecules are approximately 80 nucleotides in length. Their secondary structure includes four short double-helical elements and three loops (D, anti-codon, and T loops). Further hydrogen bonds mediate the characteristic L-shaped molecular structure. tRNAs have two regions of fundamental functional importance: the anti-codon, which is responsible for specific mRNA codon recognition, and the 3' end, to which the tRNAs corresponding amino acid is attached (by aminoacyl-tRNA synthetases). tRNAs cope with the degeneracy of the genetic code in two manners: having more than one tRNA (with a specific anti-codon) for a particular amino acid; and 'wobble' base-pairing, i.e. permitting non-standard base-pairing at the 3rd anti-codon position.
Source: Rfam by way of RNAcentral